This 497-nucleotide ribosomal RNA is filed under the name uncultured bacterium. Its description in RNAcentral is "partial 16S ribosomal RNA". It matches the Rfam family "Bacterial small subunit ribosomal RNA", at positions 28 to 507 of the family's 1533-position model. The record is from RNAcentral.
GAUGAACGCUGGCGGCGUGCCUAAUACAUGCAAGUCGAGCGAACAGACGAGGAGCUUGCUCCUCUGACGUUAGCGGCGGACGGGUGAGUAACACGUGGAUAACCUACCUAUAAGACUGGGAUAACUUCGGGAAACCGGAGCUAAUACCGGAUAACAUGUUGAACCGCAUGGUUCAACAGUGAAAGACGGACUUGCUGUCACUUAUAGAUGGAUCCGCGCCGCAUUAGCUAGUUGGUAAGGUAACGGCUUACCAAGGCAACGAUGCGUAGCCGACCUGAGAGGGUGAUCGGCCACACUGGAACUGAGACACGGUCCAGACUCCUACGGGAGGCAGCAGUAGGGAAUCUUCCGCAAUGGGCGAAAGCCUGACGGAGCAACGCCGCGUGAGUGAAGAAGGUCUUCGGAUCGUAAAACUCUGUUAUUAGGGAAGAACAAAUGUGUAAGUAACUAUGCACGUCUUGACGGUACCUAAACAGAAAGCCACGGCUAACUACGUG